Molecule: ribosomal RNA, 693 nt
Filed under: Otidea smithii
Lineage: Eukaryota; Fungi; Ascomycota; Pezizomycetes; Pezizales; Pyronemataceae
Description: eukaryotic LSU rRNA
Rfam family: 5.8S ribosomal RNA (bases 277-430)
Source: RNAcentral
CGUAACAAGGUUUCCGUAGGUGAACCUGCGGAAGGAUCAUUAGAAGAAUCUGUACUAAGCUUCGUCGUAAGCCCAGAGCUACAAUUCUAACACACUCUGCGUACCUUUCCUGUUGCUUCCGUGGUGGUCGGGUUCGUGCAAGUUAGGCCACGUUCCCCAGAUGCUUCUUUAUUGCUACCUGCCAGCCCCUACUGGCUUGUCCCUACGGGAGGUCCCCCGCAAACCAUUUGUAUUUAUUUUGCCUUCUGUCUGAAUCAUGUUAAUAACAAUCGUUAAAACUUUCAACAACGGAUCUCUUGGUUCUCGCAUCGAUGAAGAACGCAGCGAAAUGCGAUAAGUAGUGUGAAUUGCAGAAUUCAGUGAAUCAUCGAAUCUUUGAACGCACAUUGCGCCUCCUGGUAUUCCGGGAGGCAUGCCUGUUCGAGCGUCAUGAGGAGAUAUUUCAAGCUCUUUUUUGCUUGGUCUUGGAGGUUGAGUGUUGCUCUUGUACUCAUUCACCUUUGAAAUUUACAGGCGGAUUGCGUCGUGUUCCUUUUGGCGUUAUAGGAUAACUCUUUCGCUUGGACUCGGUCGUCUGUCCUGCCCUAAAACCCCCAACUAUUUUGACGUUUGACCUCGGAUCAGGUAGGGAUACCCGCUGAACUUAAGCAUAUCAAUAAGCGGAGGAAAAGAAACCAACAGGGAUUGCCCCAG